RNAcentral lists this ribosomal RNA (376 nucleotides) under uncultured Legionella sp. RNAcentral describes it as "bacterial SSU rRNA". It matches the Rfam family "Bacterial small subunit ribosomal RNA", at positions 283 to 651 of the family's 1533-position model. Lineage: Bacteria; Pseudomonadati; Pseudomonadota; Gammaproteobacteria; Legionellales; Legionellaceae. The record is from RNAcentral.
GUAGCUGGUCUGAGAGGAUGACCAGCCACACUGGAACUGAGACACGGUCCAGACUCCUACGGGAGGCAGCAGUGGGGAAUAUUGGACAAUGGGGGCAACCCUGAUCCAGCAAUGCCGCGUGUGUGAAGAAGGCCUGAGGGUUGUAAAGCACUUUCAGUGGGGAGGAGGGUUGAUAGGUUAAGAGCUAAUUAAYUGGACGUUACCCACAGAAGAAGCACCGGCUAACUCCGUGCCAGCAGCCGCGGUAAUACGGAGGGUGCGAGCGUUAAUCGGAAUUACUGGGCGUAAAGGGUGCGUAGGUGGUUUAUUAAGUUAUCUGUGAAAUCCCUGGGCUUAACCUGGGCAGGUCAGAUAAUACUGGUUGACUCGAGUAUGG